This is a small RNA of 297 nucleotides. It matches the Rfam family "5' ureB small RNA".
CUUCAUUAAUCUGUUGCGGACAAAUGAAAUGAAUAUGGCUAUCAAACCCUCCCGCCGUGAUAAUCUUCCCUUCACCCGCAAUAACAUCCGUACAACUCCCCACCACCAUAUUACUCCCUACGCCAUCCAUAACAUCCGGAUUGCCCGCCUUCCCAAUACCCACAAUAUACCCAUCUUUGACACCGAUAUCCGCUUUAUAGAUUCCACUCCAAUCGACAAUCAAAGCGUUCACAAUGACUAGAUCUAGAGAGUCAGAAUCCGAGACGCCGGUUGCUUGACCCAUUCCCUCGCGUAAUG